This 496-nucleotide unclassified non-coding RNA is filed under the name Clostridium butyricum. The stretch from base 384 to 496 matches the Rfam family "Bacterial large subunit ribosomal RNA", at positions 1 to 113 of the family's 2925-position model. Lineage: Bacteria; Bacillati; Bacillota; Clostridia; Eubacteriales; Clostridiaceae. The record is from RNAcentral.
GGAGAACCUGCGGCUGGAUCACCUCCUUUCUAUGGAGAAAUCUAGCAAACAUGACGUUUGACUAGUACAAAGAUGCAAAGCAUCUAUAAAAAUUAUAACUUGCUCAAAGGUUACUUAAUGAGUAUUGAUUCUGUUCAAUUUUGAAAGACUAGGUCUUUCAAGAAAUAUGGGGGUAUAGCUCAGUUGGGAGAGCACCUGCCUUGCACGCAGGGGGUCAAGAGUUCGAAUCUCUUUAUCUCCACCAUUAAGAUUUAAGUUAAAUUAAAUCUUUAAAUGUUCUUUGAAAAUUGCACAUAGAUUAAUGUAUAUAAUACAACAAAGCCAAGAAUAAUAUUCUUUGUGAAUGAUUAAUAUAACCAGUUUUGUAUAUCAAAACUUAAAAAGGUCAAGCUACAAAGGGCGCAUGGUGAAUGCCUUGGCAUCAGGAGCCGAUGAAGGACGUGAUAAGCUGCGAUAAGCUUCGGGUAGGCGCACAUAGCCAGAGAUCCGGAGAUUU